Non-coding RNA from Herpetosiphon aurantiacus DSM 785, 37 nucleotides. Lineage: Bacteria; Bacillati; Chloroflexota; Chloroflexia; Herpetosiphonales; Herpetosiphonaceae. The record is from Rfam.
GUUUUAAUCCCUUGGAGGGAUUCUUUAUGUAUGGAAC